GCGGGAAUAGCUCAAUUGGUAGAGCAUCAGCCUUCCAAGCUGGGGGUUGCGGGUUCGAGUCCCGUUUCCCGCU
Molecule: transfer RNA, 73 nt
Filed under: Deltaproteobacteria bacterium
Lineage: Bacteria; Pseudomonadati; Myxococcota; Myxococcia
Also listed under: 1 other name
Description: tRNA-Gly
Rfam family: tRNA
About the family: Transfer RNA (tRNA) molecules are approximately 80 nucleotides in length.
Source: RNAcentral